Long non-coding RNA from Scleropages formosus (Asian bonytongue), 770 nucleotides. RefSeq lists it as uncharacterized. The transcript is spliced from 4 exons. Lineage: Eukaryota; Metazoa; Chordata; Actinopteri; Osteoglossiformes; Osteoglossidae. The record is from RefSeq and is a predicted model, not a curated record.
CAGAAGCAGUGUGACCCAGCUGGACCCCUGCGGAGAGCAGAUGGUGGACUGCGUUUCUCAUCCUUCUGACUGCUCUGAUUAAACCUGCAGGAAUCCAUAUGGACUCCUACUUACAGACAGAGGGAAGAACUAAGAAAAAGUGUUCGGUUGUUGAACAUCAUCUGCUGCCGGGGAUGGUGGAAUUCUUCGGACCGAGCCUGAGUGAAGGGUGACUUGUUUUCCCUCUCGUCGCCAUGGCAUCGCCUCCCCGAUCCGCCUGAUGUUCUUCACUUCAGUAAAUAUUGCCUCCUGCUGGGGAAAGAGAGUUCACCGGGCCGAGCUUGAGCGAAAGGUGACUUGUUUUGCCUCGCCUCACCAUGGCAUCGACUUUGUGAUCUGCUUGGAGCUGAGAAGAUGCAAGGAGGACGGCUCGGCUGCACUACGUACCCGGGUGUGAGUGAGAAGCUGAGUUGCACAGCGAGUGGGAAUCAAAGGCCUCUGGUGCAUCUCAGAGCUCAUCUUGUGCAGCGCUCUGACGCCCAGACGUGGACAUCCAGCCUUCAAAGCAUACUCAUCAUAAAGAUGCUGAGGCUUCUUCACGCCACUGAUGUCUCUUUCAAACUACACAAGGUUCUCAGUUCACUGAUGUUUCGGACAAACCAGUGAUUUUUUUUUUUUUUAAGAGGAAUUGGACUGAACGAGUGUAACGGAAUUCCAAGGUAAAGUUCAGAAUGAUCUUACGAUCACUGCAUUUCCCCUCCAACUUGAUACGGAGACAAAAAAGGAAAUCG